Molecule: ribosomal RNA, 246 nt
Filed under: Clostridioides difficile
Lineage: Bacteria; Bacillati; Bacillota; Clostridia; Peptostreptococcales; Peptostreptococcaceae
Description: partial 23S ribosomal RNA
Rfam family: Bacterial large subunit ribosomal RNA
Source: RNAcentral
UGGUCAAGUUAUUAAGGGUGCAGGGCGGAUGCCUUGGCACUAGGAGCCGAUGAAGGACGUGAUAAGCUGCGAUAAGCUUCGGGGAGUUGCACGUAAACUUUGAUCCGAAGAUUUCCGAAUGAGGAAACUCACUUAGAGUAAUGUCUAAGUAUCAUUAAGUGAAUACAUAGCUUAAUGAGGGGAACUCAGGGAACUGAAACAUCUAAGUACCUGAAGGAAGAGAAAGAAAUUCGAUUCCGUAAGUAG